GGGCUUUUGCCACCCAUCGAGGUCGAUCGGAGAGGCCUUCGCUUUCACCCUGUUCUUGACAGGUUUCAUGCCGGAACGGGGAGAGGUGGGCGCCGAGCUCGGCCUUGCCCCUGACUCGAUUGUCGCCUUCCUCCGAGCCGGCACCUUAGCCGCCCAUGGGAUCCGAGAGUGACUCGUGACCAUGCACGGACCGAAUGCCGGCAACUCCUCCAGUUCAUCAUUUCCCCUAUUCACCUGGCUCGUCGCCAUCGAGGAUUCCAUCCCUGAUGCUUCCUUUCCUUUCUCCCCAAUCUCCCCUUUUUUUGCCGCCUCGACCUCCAGCAAGGAGCAAGCACACUCCAUCACCGCAUGCCCAAUCCUACCGCACCGGAGCAGGGAGCCGGCA
RNAcentral lists this long non-coding RNA (385 nucleotides) under Phoenix dactylifera (date palm). Its description in RNAcentral is "long non-coding RNA (PDAC_LNC001764)". The record is from RNAcentral. Lineage: Eukaryota; Viridiplantae; Streptophyta; Magnoliopsida; Arecales; Arecaceae.